RNAcentral lists this ribosomal RNA (326 nucleotides) under uncultured eukaryote. RNAcentral's name for it is "partial 18S ribosomal RNA". It matches the Rfam family "Eukaryotic small subunit ribosomal RNA", at positions 1470 to 1796 of the family's 1831-position model. The record is from RNAcentral.
CCCUUAGAUGUUCUGGGCCGCACGCGCGCUACACUGAUGCAUUCAACAAGCCUAGCCUUGACCGAGAGGUCCGGGUAAUCUUUGAAACUGCAUCGUGAUGGGGCUAGUUUAUUGCAAUUAUUAAUCUUCAACGAGGAAUGCCUAGUAAGCGUGAUUCAUCAAAUCGCGUUGAUUACGUCCCUGCCCUUUGUACACACCGCCCGUCGCUCCUACCGAUUGAAUGUGUUGGUGAGGAGCUCGGAUUGGCAGCAGUUGGUGGUUCGCCACCGGCUAUUGCUGAGAAGUCCUCCAAACCGCCCCAUUUAGAGGAAGGAGAAGUCGUAACA